UGCAGAAUCCCGUGAACCAUCGAGUCUUUGAACGCAAGUUGCGCCCAAAGCCAUCAGGCUGAGGGCAUGUCUGCCUGGGCGUCACAU
RNAcentral lists this ribosomal RNA (87 nucleotides) under Staphylea japonica. Its description in RNAcentral is "Euscaphis japonica partial 5.8S ribosomal RNA". It matches the Rfam family "5.8S ribosomal RNA", at positions 73 to 154 of the family's 154-position model. Rfam says of the family: 5.8S ribosomal RNA (5.8S rRNA) is a component of the large subunit of the eukaryotic ribosome. It is transcribed by RNA polymerase I as part of the 45S precursor that also contains 18S and 28S rRNA. The record is from RNAcentral. Lineage: Eukaryota; Viridiplantae; Streptophyta; Magnoliopsida; Crossosomatales; Staphyleaceae.